AGAAUCAACGCUGGCGGCGUGCCUAACACAUGCAAGUCGCACGAGAAAGGGUAGCAAUACCUGAGUAAAGUGGCGCACGGGCGAGUAACACGUGAAUUAUCUACCUCCGAGUGGGGAAUAACUGAGAGAAAUCUUAGCUAAUACCGCAUAACACUUACGAGUCAAAGCAGCAAUGCGCUUGGAGAGGAGUUCGCGGCAGAUUAGUUAGUUGGCGGGGUGACGGCCCACCAAGGCGACGACGGGUA
Molecule: ribosomal RNA, 245 nt
Filed under: uncultured bacterium
Lineage: Bacteria
Description: partial small subunit ribosomal RNA
Rfam family: Bacterial small subunit ribosomal RNA
Source: RNAcentral